AUCAUUAUCUGCAUAGUAGAAGAAAAACAGAGAAUUGGUGCAGCAAAAUCAUGUCAUCUGCUACUGCCAUUGGAUUCUCAGCAAAUUGGUGGUUGCGCUGUCACGGGCGAAUGACUCCUCCUUCAUGUUUUCCGGUUUCAGUGUCUUAUUCUUCCUCUUUCAACUCCAACUCUUCUUCUUCUAAGUUCAACUACAUUCAUGGAGCAUCCUCUGAAGGACUUCCUAAUGAGUUGGUUGAAGACUCAAAAUUUGUUCCUUUGAAUGAGGAGGAUCCUAUAUAUGGUCCACCUGCCUUAUUGUUGUUGGGCUUUGAAGCAGAUGAAGCUCUGAAGAUUCAACAGCUUUUGAAAGAGUUGGAUGGUGAAUUCCUGAAGGUCAUCUAUUGUACUGAAGACAUGAUUACACGUUCGCUUUGGGAGGCAAUGCAUACAACCCAACCCAGUUUAGAAGAGGUUAAGAUAGCCAAGUCACUUCCUCGGAUAUGUUUCUUAUCUGGUUUAAGUGGAGAGGAGAUGAUGAUGUUCAUAGAUUCUUUCCCUGAAACUGAUUUCACAUGUUCACUACAGUUUGGAGUUUAUGUUAUGCAGAACUAAAACCAGCUGCAUUUGCGGCGCUUGUUCCCAACAGUGCUAAUAAACCACUGGAGGAGUUGAUAGAAGAAAUAAUGGGAGACCAUGAGAUGUUGACUGGGGAGCAGUUGUGAAGAUUUAAAUUCCCACUGAAUCCAGGUGGAGCGAUUGGAAAAGAGAUCUGAUCUGAUUGAAACCAACAAUUUUUCACAGUAUCCGGGCAUCAAACUGCAUUAUAAAAUAUAAAUUCCAAUCUACUUAGGAUUUUAAGUAUAUGAAAUGCUGUCAUUUGUAACACAAGUUAGCAACUGAUUGUUCCUAACUGUUUGCUUAGGUACUUAACUGGAUUAUUCUUUUGUUACUGCCUACUUGAAAACAUGGAAGCAAUCUUAUUCUUUCGUUAAUUGCA
Glycine soja is the source of this 978-nucleotide RNA transcript. RefSeq lists it as uncharacterized. Lineage: Eukaryota; Viridiplantae; Streptophyta; Magnoliopsida; Fabales; Fabaceae. The record is from RefSeq and is a predicted model, not a curated record. The transcript is spliced from 8 exons.